AAUUUGAAAAAGUCCUAUUUGGUUCCANGGCUU
This 33-nucleotide transfer RNA is filed under the name Bavayia robusta. RNAcentral describes it as "partial tRNA-Cys". The record is from RNAcentral. Lineage: Eukaryota; Metazoa; Chordata; Lepidosauria; Squamata; Diplodactylidae.